This 82-nucleotide transfer RNA is filed under the name Elusimicrobiota bacterium. Its description in RNAcentral is "Elusimicrobia bacterium (groundwater metagenome) tRNA-Leu". It matches the Rfam family "tRNA". From Rfam's summary of the family: Transfer RNA (tRNA) molecules are approximately 80 nucleotides in length. The record is from RNAcentral. Lineage: Bacteria; Pseudomonadati; Elusimicrobiota.
GGGCGGGUGGCGGAACUGGCAGACGCGUACGGCUCAGGACCGUAUGCCGCAAGGCUUAAGGGUUCGACUCCCUUCCCGCCCA